AUGCUCAAGCUCGACCUCACGCGCGCCUUUGACUCCAUAUCUUGGCCAUUCCUCUUUGAGGUUUUGCGCCAAUAUGGGUUCGGGGACAGAUUUCGGGAAUGGCUUGCGAUCCUGCUUUCGACGUCCAGCACCCGUGUCAUGAUGAACGGCGGGCCAGGCCCCCCGAUCUGGCACCGUUGUGGCCUGCGCCAAGGCGACUCCAUGUCCCCCUAG
This 213-nucleotide ribosomal RNA is filed under the name Triticum aestivum (bread wheat). RNAcentral describes it as "partial small subunit ribosomal RNA". The record is from RNAcentral. Lineage: Eukaryota; Viridiplantae; Streptophyta; Magnoliopsida; Poales; Poaceae.